UACAGAGGGGGCAAGCGUUGUUCGGAAUUACUGGGCGUAAAGGGCGCGUAGGCGGCCUGUUAAGUCGAACGUGAAAUCCCCGGGCUCAACCCGGGAACUGCGUCCGAUACUGGCAGGCUUGAAUUCGGGAGAGGGAUGCGGAAUUCCAGGUGUAGCGGUGAAAUGCGUAGAUAUCUGGAGGAACACCGGUGGCGAAGGCGAAUCCCUGGAAAAUACCUGACACUGAGGCACGAAAGCUAGGGGAGCAAACAGG
RNAcentral lists this ribosomal RNA (253 nucleotides) under uncultured bacterium. Its description in RNAcentral is "partial 16S ribosomal RNA". It matches the Rfam family "Bacterial small subunit ribosomal RNA", at positions 524 to 776 of the family's 1533-position model. The record is from RNAcentral.